Molecule: long non-coding RNA, 1276 nt
Filed under: Eucalyptus grandis
Lineage: Eukaryota; Viridiplantae; Streptophyta; Magnoliopsida; Myrtales; Myrtaceae
Description: long non-coding RNA (EGRA_LNC001870)
Source: RNAcentral
CUUCAAAUCCAAUACCAGUGGUGGACCAUAUCAACUCAACAUGAGACUUCUGAUAUAAAAAAGGGAAAAAGUUAGAUAAUAAUCCCCCCCCCCAAAAAAGAAGAAGAGGAAGAGACAUAAAAUUGCUCCUCGAUCGCGAAUAGCGCCAGAAGCAAACCCACUACUCUAGGAUCUUUUCAGUGGCCUGAUACAGUUAUAGUCAUGCUAUGUGUUGCUUUUUCUUUUAUGGAGUUACUUUAUUGUCCUAUUACGAGUCAAAAGCAGCAAGAAAAAUAAAUCUGAAAAAGUUCGAUCGGUGACUAUUUUAGGUGCUUCUCAAUUUGAGUUAGGUAUGCAUUUCUAAAGAAAGAGUGGGAGAAUAUAAAAUUAUGAAACUUUGUUAACUCAUAUUCAUUUAGGUUAGAUGAUUUGUUUAUUUAAUUUUCUAUUGAAUUAAAAUUAACGUAGAAGGAAAAUUAAAAUUAUUAUAAAAAUUUGUUUAUGCAAUCCAUAAGCAUGAUCUUAAUGCCUAAAAAUGGAAUUAUCGACUAUACGCAUGGUUCAGAAUAGGAAAUUUCCUAACGCGGAGAUGCUUAAAAAUCUCAAACAAAUCAAAAUUAGUAUCGAAUAUAUUAAAUUAAAUAAUCAAUAAUUGCAAACUAGGCAACGAAUAAUCAAAUCGAAUUGGUUCGAGAGAUUACCUGGUUUGAAGUAUUCAAUUCCAGAAUCGGGGCCGGCGAUGGGGCGCUUUAUGGCGACCAGUGAGGAGGAACGUCAGGACCAAAGCAGCAACGACGGCGAUUCAGCAAGGACGCAGCAAAUUGCGGACGGGUUCGCUGGAACAAAAGACGCAACGGUGAAGGUUUGUUGGUCGGACUCUGCUUGGCGGCGACGGUGUGGGCUCGAUCAACGCUAGUCUGCUCUGGGCAAACUGCGAAAGGAAAUCAAAACAGCAAGCGGAGGUGGCGUCAAGUGGAGCCGGGAUGCCGCCUGGAAUCACCGGAAACCGCCAGGGACUGCUGCUGUGGCGUUCGAAUAAGUCGGCAAAUCUGCUGUCGUGGCCGCAGCAGGACGUGCUGAGCGCGACUAAGUGAGCCAGCAAGCGAGGUAGAGGCGCGACGAUGGGCAAGCCGGCGGCAAGCGCAGUGACUGAUGAGGGGCGGCGGCGGCGGCGUUCGUAGGAGGACAGAGCCGAAGAUCAACACCGGCGAACAAGGUCUCGAGAAUUUCGGCGAGAAAGCAAACCCUAGACCGCCGGACGAAAGCGGCAACGACACCGAGAAAAUAGACCCCACCG